This 400-nucleotide ribosomal RNA is filed under the name uncultured bacterium. RNAcentral's name for it is "bacterial SSU rRNA". It matches the Rfam family "Bacterial small subunit ribosomal RNA", at positions 355 to 772 of the family's 1533-position model. The record is from RNAcentral.
UGGGGGAUAUUGCACAAUGGGGGAAACCCUGAUGCAGCGACGCCGCGUGAGCGAUGAAGUGCCUCGGCAUGUAAAGCUCUAUCAGCGGGGAAGAAGAUGACGGUACCCGACUAAGAAGCCCCGGCUAACUACGUGCCAGCAGCCGCGGUAAUACGUAGGGGGCAAGCGUUAUCCGGAUUUACUGGGUGUAAAGGGAGCGUAGACGGCGUAGCAAGUCCGAUGUGAAAACCCGCGGCUCAACCGCGGGCCCGCAUUGGAAACUGUCAUGCUUGAGUACUGGAGGGGCAGGCGGAAUUCCUGGUGUAGCGGUGGAAUGCGUAGAUAUCAGGAGGAACACCGGUGGCGAAGGCGGCCUGCUGGACAGUAACUGACGUUGAGGCUCGAAAGCGUGGGGAGCAAA